This 497-nucleotide ribosomal RNA is filed under the name uncultured bacterium. RNAcentral describes it as "partial 16S ribosomal RNA". It matches the Rfam family "Bacterial small subunit ribosomal RNA", at positions 28 to 507 of the family's 1533-position model. The record is from RNAcentral.
GAUGAACGCUGGCGGCGUGCCUAAUACAUGCAAGUCGAGCGAACGGACGAGAAGCUUGCUUCUCUGAUGUUAGCGGCGGACGGGUGAGUAACACGUGGAUAACCUACCUAUAAGACUGGGAUAACUUCGGGAAACCGGAGCUAAUACCGGAUAAUAUUUUGAACCGCAUGGUUCAAAAGUGAAAGACGGUCUUGCUGUCACUUAUAGAUGGAUCCGCGCUGCAUUAGCUAGUUGGUAAGGUAACGGCUUACCAAGGCAACGAUGCAUAACCUACCUGAGAGGGUGAUCGGCCACACUGGAACUGAGACACGGUCCAGACUCCUACGGGAGGCAGCAGUAGGGAAUCUUCCGCAAUGGGCGAAAGCCUGACGGAGCAACGCCGCGUGAGUGAUGAAGGUCUUCGGAUCGUAAAACUCUGUUAUUAGGGAAGAACAUAUGUGUAAGUAACUGUGCACAUCUUGACGGUACCUAAUCAGAAAGCCACGGCUAACUACGUG